Molecule: transfer RNA, 73 nt
Filed under: Camelus ferus (Wild Bactrian camel)
Lineage: Eukaryota; Metazoa; Chordata; Mammalia; Artiodactyla; Camelidae
Rfam family: tRNA
About the family: Transfer RNA (tRNA) molecules are approximately 80 nucleotides in length. Their secondary structure includes four short double-helical elements and three loops (D, anti-codon, and T loops).
Source: Rfam by way of RNAcentral
GAAGGUAUAGCUCAAGUGGUAGAGCACAUGCUUAGUAUGCAUGAGGUCCUGGGUUCAAUCCCUGGUACUGCCU